Molecule: ribosomal RNA, 376 nt
Filed under: uncultured bacterium
Lineage: Bacteria
Description: bacterial SSU rRNA
Rfam family: Bacterial small subunit ribosomal RNA
Source: RNAcentral
UACAGAGGGUGCAAGCGUUGCUCGGAUUUACUGGGCGUAAAGCGUACGCAGACGGUGAGGAAGGUCGGAUGUGAAAGCCCUGGGCUCAACCCAGGAACUGCAUCCGAAACCCCCUCGCUAGAGUAUGGGAGAGGGAAGCGGAAUUCCUGGUGUAGAGGUGAAAUUCGUAGAUAUCAGGAGGAACAUCUGCGGCGAAGGCGGCUUCCUGGCCCAUUACUGACGUUCAGGUACGAAAGCGUGGGUAGCAAACAGGAUUAGAUACCCUGGUAGUCCACGCCGUAAACGAUGAGUGCUGGAUGUCGGGGGUAUUCACCCCCUCGGUAUCGAAGCCAACGCGAUAAGCACUCCGCCUGGGGAGUACGGCCGCAAGGUUGAA